GGAAAUCAUGUCAAAGAGCAAGACACUUGUUUGAGGCAGAGGGUGAAAUAGAAUCUACUCAAGCCUAAUACAAUCAGGGAAGCAACAUGGCCUGUUCUGAUGUUGACAUGGACAUCCAAGACUAUGAGAAUCCAGAUGAAACCGACCAGAGAGACCUGCCGACAAUGCAGCAGCACCAGGCUUCAGCGAUGAGGCCAGAUAGCAAAGAACCUCUGCAUGACCUGCUGCAGAAACAGCCGGCUGUAUCGGGGAUAAGAGAAUCAAAACAGCCAGAUGCACUGGGGAUUCUGCAGAUGAUUUUCGGCCUCCUCAGCAUUGGAUUAGGAAUUGGUCUUUCUGUAACCAUUGACAUUGGACAGUCCCUUACCACUCUGUUCAGAGUCUUUCAACUGACUGGA
Long non-coding RNA from Acanthochromis polyacanthus (spiny chromis), 398 nucleotides. RefSeq lists it as uncharacterized. The record is from RefSeq and is a predicted model, not a curated record. The transcript has 3 exons. Lineage: Eukaryota; Metazoa; Chordata; Actinopteri; Pomacentridae.